Molecule: long non-coding RNA, 2175 nt
Filed under: Brassica napus (rape)
Lineage: Eukaryota; Viridiplantae; Streptophyta; Magnoliopsida; Brassicales; Brassicaceae
Description: long non-coding RNA (BNAP_LNC020797)
Source: RNAcentral
AUCAUCCAAACUGAUUAUGUAUGAUUUAAUUUGAAACAAAUAACAUUGUUAAUUUUAGAGUAUAUUUGGUUGUUGUUUUAUUUUUAUUUGAUUACUUUUGAAUAAAGAUUUUUGUACUUACGUUCUAUUACAUAGAUAAUUAACUUUAAUUUCUUUUACUCAAAUGUGCCAUAAUUUUUGUAUCUCCUUUACUUAAAUUUACCUUAACUUUUUUUAUUUCUUUUGAUUGAUAUGGUUAUGAAGCCCUCUAGAUAUGGUAAAAAUGGUUUCAACCUAUCUAUUGGAUAUGGGGUUUGCCCAUUUUUCAAUAUCAAAACUUAGCGUUAGUUUUCCUUUUUGAAGGUUUGUUAUACCAAACAAAGCAUGCUGCAGUGAAGAUAGGGAAGAGCCUUUACAAGACUUUCCUUGCGGAAACCAUGCUUGGAUAGGCAUCAAUAUGUCUUUCAUGGGAUACAUUUUAUCCUACAGAAAUUGCCAAGAUGAAACGUUUGUACAUAUUCUCCUGGAAAUAAAAUUAACAUAAGGGUUAUACAUUCAUACACAGGUCAUAAAAAAUUUUAAUACCAAGAUGAUAGAUCUUUUGAUCAUAGAAUCUCAUACUUGAUACAUACACCUAUACAUAGUAUCAUCUCUAAUAUUAUGAUGUCUACUUCUCCUCCUCCUCUUUUAUAUCAACAACACCAGCUCAAUUAUCCAACAAUACCACAAUCGAAUGGUAUGUCAUUGUAGCAUUUUAGGAUCGAAUCCACAGAGAACUAGAGACUUAUAACACCAAGAAUACACAAACCUUCCUAAUCUAAGCAAACAAGAAGAUAGAUGAUUUGUAACAAACUAAUAUCCUAGAAAUAUAAACAAGGUGAUCUCAGAUCCAAUCAAGAAAUAAGUGCAAGAAUUCAAUCAAAUACUAAGGAGAAUCCAUGGGCUAAGGGAAUUGACAUUGGGUGAUCAAGUUUCAAUCUAAAGGUGGUACCUUUCAAUAAAUCUAUCAACCUUAGGCUUAGACACAAUCCUAAACAAACUCUAUCUCUUGAUGGAUGUUCAUUCACUAAGAUAACUCAAGCAUCAAAUCUCUUUGGUUGAAUAUUAUCAAAGCAAUCAUUAAAAUCAAGCCUAUUAGCCAUCUUAACACCUUUAACAACAAAUCUCUUUGGUAAAGAGUGUUAAAAGCUUAGGAGAGUUGGUUCAGACAUUUCAUCAAACACCUUUCGGGUAUGAAAUGUCUAGAGCUCAAUUUUAGAGAGACCAACUCUAAAAUAGCAUUAAGAUCACUCAAAAAGCAAGAAAUAAGAAGGAUCUACAAUAAAACACCCUAAAUCUACACUUAAUCACCCUAAUCUACCUUAACCCAUGAAUCCAAGGAGAAUCUACUCUCUAAACUCCAUGAGAAAGCUCAAACCCAUGAUGGAUUCAAGGCUCAUCAUGUUUAUGAGAAAGAGAAACAAGAUAUAAUAUGAAGAACUUCCUUAGAUUAUGAUAUAAAGAUUCAAGCUUUUUUACAAAUGAGGCAAUGUUCUUGAGAGAAAAAUGAGAUUCCUCCUCAGAUUAGGUCUUAAAGGUGUUUAUAGAUGUCUAAAAACGAGCUGGGUUAACCCAACAAACCUAGGUUAACCCACAAAAACAUAGAUAUUUUUCUCCGUAGUGACCAGAAAAAGUCGCUACCAGAGGUCACUACGCCUGUAGCGACUUGUCAUGCCCGCUACGUGUGGCCGCUAGGAUACUUGGGAAAUUUUAGAGGUCUUGAACGCAUAGCGACCUCGUAAAGUCGCUAUGGCUGGCCGCUGUAGAAGGCGCUUCAAAUCUAGCGGCCUCUCCAUCCCGCUACACACGCCCGCUACGGUACUUAUCUUCUGUAGCGACCAGCCUUUGCCGCUACGCCUGGCCGCUAGGAUCCUUUAACGACUCAUCUACAUUCUUUGGGCAUCGAAACACUCCUUGGGGCACAGAGUUCAUCAUGAAACUCCCUCCAACACCUGAUAAGGACUAAUGCAUGGAAAUGCAACCUAAACAUGUGUAAAUGCUAUUCCAAAAGACCAAUGUGCACAAGAAAGGAUAAUUAAAACAAUGUAAAUAUGCAAGAUAUCACUUGAUACAUACACCUAUACAUAGUAUCAUCUCUAAUAUUAUGAUGUCUACUUCUCCUCCUCCUCUUUUAUAUCAACAACACCAGCUCAAUUA